CGCCUGGGGAGUACGGCCGCAAGGUUAAAACUCAAAUGAAUUGACGGGGGCCCGCACAAGCGGUGGAGCAUGUGGUUUAAUUCGACGCAACGCGAAGAACCUUACCUGGCCUUGACAUGCAGAGAACUUUCCAGAGAUGGAUUGGUGCCUUCGGGAACUCUGACACAGGUGCUGCAUGGCCGUCGUCAGCUCGUGUCGUGAGAUGUUGGGUUAAGUCCCGUAACGAGCGCAACCCCUAUCCCUAGUUGCUAGCAGUUCGGCUGAGAACUCUAGGGAGACUGCCGGUGACAAACCGGAGGAAGGUGGGGAUGACGUCAGGUCAUCAUGGCCCUUACGGCCAGGGCUACACACGUGCUACAAUGGCGCGCACAGAGGGCUGCAAACCCGCGAGGGGGAGCCAAUCUCACAAAACGCGUCGUAGUCCGGAUCGCAGUCUGCAACUCGACUGCGUGAAGUCGGAAUCGCUAGUAAUCGUGAAUCAGAAUGUCACGGUGAAUACGUUCCCGGGCCUUGUACACACCGCCCGUCACACCAUGGGUGUGGAUUGCACCAGAAGUGGUUAGUCUAACCUUCGGGAGGACGAUCACCACGGUGUGGUUCAUGACUGGGGUGAAGUCGUAACAAGGUAACCGUA
This 634-nucleotide ribosomal RNA is filed under the name uncultured Marinobacter sp. Its description in RNAcentral is "bacterial SSU rRNA". It matches the Rfam family "Bacterial small subunit ribosomal RNA", at positions 870 to 1504 of the family's 1533-position model. The record is from RNAcentral. Lineage: Bacteria; Pseudomonadati; Pseudomonadota; Gammaproteobacteria; Pseudomonadales; Marinobacteraceae.